Molecule: ribosomal RNA, 254 nt
Filed under: uncultured bacterium
Lineage: Bacteria
Description: partial 16S ribosomal RNA
Rfam family: Bacterial small subunit ribosomal RNA
Source: RNAcentral
UACGGGGGGAGCAAGCGUUGUUCGGAUUUACUGGGCGUAAAGGGCGCGUAGGCGGCCAGCACAAGUCAGUUGUGAAAUCUCCGAGCUUAACUCGGAAAGGUCAACUGAUACUGUGCGGCUAGAGUGCGGAAGGGGCAACUGGAAUUCUUGGUGUAGCGGUGAAAUGCGUAGAUAUCAAGAGGAACACCUGCGGCGAAGGCGGGUUGCUGGGCCGACACUGACGCUGAGGUACGAAAGCCAGGGGAGCAAACGGG